GAGGAAGGGCCAUAGCUUAGUGCUAGAGCAUCUGCUUUGCAUGCAAAAGGCUCCAGGUUCAAUCCCCAGCAACA
Molecule: non-coding RNA, 74 nt
Organism: Podarcis lilfordi (Lilford's wall lizard)
Lineage: Eukaryota; Metazoa; Chordata; Lepidosauria; Squamata; Lacertidae
Source: the annotation of a GenBank genome assembly